This 490-nucleotide ribosomal RNA is filed under the name uncultured bacterium. RNAcentral's name for it is "partial 16S ribosomal RNA". It matches the Rfam family "Bacterial small subunit ribosomal RNA", at positions 30 to 507 of the family's 1533-position model. The record is from RNAcentral.
AUUGAACGCUGGCGGCAGGCCUAACACAUGCAAGUCGAACGGUAACAGGAAACAGCUUGCUGUUUCGCUGACGAGUGGCGGACGGGUGAGUAAUGUCUGGGAAACUGCCUGAUGGAGGGGGAUAACUACUGGAAACGGUAGCUAAUACCGCAUAACGUCGCAAGACCAAAGAGGGGGACCUUCGGGCCUCUUGCCAUCGGAUGUGCCCAGAUGGGAUUAGCUAGUAGGUGGGGUAACGGCUCACCUAGGCGACGACCCCUAGCUGGUCUGAGAGGAUGACCAGCCACACUGGAACUGAGACACGGUCCAGACUCCUACGGGAGGCAGCAGUGGGGAAUAUUGCACAAUGGGCGCAAGCCUGAUGCAGCCAUGCCGCGUGUAUGAAGAAGGCCUUCGGGUUGUAAAGUACUUUCAGCGGGGAGGAAGGGAGUAAAGUUAAUACCUUUGCUCAUUGACGUUACCCGCAGAAGAAGCACCGGCUAACUCCGUG